Long non-coding RNA from Cuculus canorus (common cuckoo), 2951 nucleotides. RefSeq lists it as uncharacterized. Lineage: Eukaryota; Metazoa; Chordata; Aves; Cuculiformes; Cuculidae. The record is from RefSeq and is a predicted model, not a curated record. The transcript has 3 exons.
CUUGAGAAAACGCCUCACCUUGAGAGAUUAAAAUCUGCUUAAAAAAAUCCUAAAGAAGCUGAUGUAGCUACAGAAUUGAAAUGGUUUUACAGAGACGAAAUAGUAAUUUUGGCCACGGGAUAAUGCUGGCAUCCUGCAUGCCCGCGGUGGGACGCCAGGCUCAGCCAGCUUCAAAGCUGGACUUGUGUUUAAUGCAGAGCUGACUUUGUGCUGAGCAAGACUGCCAACUGGAAAAGUGCCGACGGAGCGGGGCUCACUGAGGUCUGCUGUCUGUGUCAGUGUGGGGUUAUCUUCCUGGAGGAGCUCAGCUGUGUUUGAUAAAGCAGGAAAUUUUAUUUGCAGUGGGACUAGAUGUGCUGAUGAUCUGGCUGAAGAGAGCAACGUGAGGCUUAGCCAUCAGGCGGGAUAUAAGACCACUUCAGAUCAGCCACUUGGAAGAAAGGGAUGCUAGAAUUAAUAAGCCAAUAGUUACCCUCUGUUUGUGGCACACCAAUAUUCUUAAAACUAUAUUUUAAAGUAAUUGUCUUGGAGUCAAUGUAAGAAUAAGUCUGGAGCCCAAUGGAACACUCCAAAUACAGAUAAAUAUAAUAUAGCUGCUCAUAUUGAGCUGUCUGCACAACAGGGUGUUCAGGGCUGACGUUCAGGGCUUAGGGAAGUUCUACAUCCUUAAUGCUCACAGCCUACAGUGGGCACAGGAGGUACUGGCUUGCUGAGUGCAGCUGUGCUGAAAUGGAUGAGGGUUGAAAUUAGGAAAUAAUACAUUGAUUAAAACCCCCCAGAUUACUAGCAGAUGACUUAUUAUUACUCUUGGUUGGACCUGCUCAAAUAAAAGGGAGGUGGGAAUCCAAGAUGCCAGCCUGGUCUCGCUGCCUGACCCCACUCAGAUCAGGCUUUGCAAGCCCUCAAAGCAAAUCCUCUGCAGAAAUUAUGUACUUUCCUAUGCAAAAACAUCCCUCCACUUUCUGGAAAUUUAUUAACAUCGGGUUUACUGUGGCCUUAACUAAAAUGUUAAACAUUCUCCGUCUACCAUUCUCCUUGCAGUCAAAAAAGAACUCUGCCUCUUCAGGUAAUGCUCCAUGCUCUGCUCUGCCGUGGCCACAGGGCUGUUGGAGUCUCAGCCACCACUGCAUCCUCUUGCUGUAAGUUGAACAGUGACUGGAGUACACGGCUCUGCCGUUGGUUGUGUAGGUUCAGAGCACGUUGUGGCCAUCAAGCCAUGCACAGCAUCACGUGCAGGCAAGUGUGGGGCAAAAUCCUUGCUAAUACGGGAGUUUGAGUUUCACUUCUGGAAACACCAGUGCUCUGACCUUUGUAAAUUGGGAUGGGCUUCUUGUCUGGGUCACUGUUUGCAGCUGGCUUUCUGGACAAGUGUCAAAGACACCACAGACUGCCAAGGGUUAGAUGCUGAAGUGCUUAAUUAAAUGAGUCUCUGGGCAGUGGCAAUUUGCAUGGUACAAGCACACAGCAGGGCUCUUUUUUUUUUUUUUUCCUUUUUUUGUUUUUAAAGAUAGUGUUCGGAACUGGUUAAAAAAAUGACUUUUUUUUUGGUCUUGCUUUGUGUUUUGCUAAUACAAGCAAUUGGAAAAUAUGACCAAUACUCCCCUGUGUUUCCCAGAUUUAAAACAAGACGUGCAAGAGCCUUGUUCAUCUUUGAGUUUUGUGCCGCUAGCAUGAGCUUGCAUCCCUUUUCCAGGAAUUUUCUUUUGUCUGAAAAUAAGGGACAAAUAAAAUCCCAAGAAGGAAAAAAGAAACCCAAAGGAAAACUGAGUUUCUUUACCAACCGGUCUGUGAGGACUGUAAGUCACCCGAGCAUCCUGCGUGAAGGCGCUGAAGGUCAUUAACAGCAGCGUGCAAAGGUUCCAGUACCUCCUCCCACCAGGCUCUGCAGGGCUGACCUUUUGUGCUGUACACGCCACUGAACUGAGUUAUGGGCAUCAACUCAGCUGGUGCAGAGAGCAGAUGGAGCCAAGAACGUAACAAGUUGCACUGGUCGUGCUCCAACCACCCUGAUCCACCUGCCCAGGCUGCAAUUCCCACCUCACCGUCCUGGGCAGCCGCGGGACUGCAGCAUCUAAGGUAUGUUGGGAAAUACUUUAGACUGGGCUGAAACACCCGGCUCACACUGCGCGGAAUAAACCCCCAAAUGAAUAGUUGCAGCUCUGUGAUUGCAGCUCCUUCAUUGCUGCCAACACGGCCCCUCCUGGGCUGCAGCUCAGUCCCAGUGUUCGGGAUCGAGCCCCAAAUCAGCGCCUUUGCAUUUUGGGGGCAUCCUGAUUUUUACAAUGUGUGAGCAAGAGGUGAGGUUGGUGCCUGCUCGCGUCUAUUCUCUGUUUUCAGGGUCAUUUAAAAAAAAAUCCUUAUAGCCUUGCUAUUGCAUUCUUCAUUUUUACAGAUCGCUGUUAAAAAAGAACCACCCCUCUUGCUGGAGGCAGGUUAAAAAGCAAGGUGACAUUUCAGAGUGCUCUCUUCCCAGGCUCACCGUGCUUGCUGGGAAUUUGUCCUGUCCUCAACACCAAAGAUCACUGCACAAUCCCUUUUUAAAAGAAACACAGAGGUUUUCCUGGUCUCCAGAUGCUGGGAUUGCACUGUGUUAUAGAACAAGCAAGAUUCCCUCUGCAGGUUUUCUAUGAGAAAAAUUACCCGAGCAUGAGGUGGCGCGUCACAGAGGACAGGGAAACCCUGGAGUCGAGUGGCCCAGUCCCAGGGAUGAAGAGCAACAGCGAUGCAUGUGAAGGUCAUCAGGACUCGUGUGUCUCUCCGGCAAAGCCAUGUUCAUGGAGGUCAACACAACCAAGCGGCCAAGCUCCUUCAAGGGAAACUUACCAUAGGCAUAAUAAAAUAUCCAAGAAGUCAUAAAAGAUAACACGAGAGCAGUGUUUGGCCUUGGUAAACCACAUUGAGGAUGACUGCAAUGUAUGGAUACAGCUUCGUUCAAGAAAGGAGUUGUGCAU